RNAcentral lists this ribosomal RNA (446 nucleotides) under uncultured bacterium. RNAcentral describes it as "bacterial SSU rRNA". It matches the Rfam family "Bacterial small subunit ribosomal RNA", at positions 329 to 792 of the family's 1533-position model. The record is from RNAcentral.
GUCCAGACUCCUACGGGAGGCAGCAGUGGGGAAUAUUGCACAAUGGGGGAAACCCUGAUGCAGCGACGCCGCGUGAGUGAAGAAGUAUUUCGGUAUGUAAAGCUCUAUCAGCAGGGAAGAAAAUGACGGUACCUGAUUAAGAAGCCCCGGCUAACUACGUGCCAGCAGCCGCGGUAAUACGUAGGGGGCAAGCGUUAUCCGGAUUUACUGGGUGUAAAGGGAGCGUAGACGGUGAUGCAAGUCAGAAGUGAAAGCCCGGGGCUCAACUCCGGGACUGCUUUUGAAACUGUGUGACUGGAGUGCAGGAGAGGUAAGCGGAAUUCCUGGUGUAGCGGUGAAAUGCGUAGAUAUCAGGAGGAACACCGGCGGCGAAGGCGGCCUGCUGGACUGAAACUGACGUUGAGGCUCGAAAGCGUGGGGAGCAAACAGGAUUAGAUACCCUAGUA